AUUUUUACCAAAUAUAGUUCUCUGUUACUAAUGGGCAAAGUUCAUUAUAGAUAAUGUAAGAAGCAAAAUCGUUCAGUAAAGUAAGAACUUCAAACACAUCACCAUCACCAAAAUACAAUUUUGUCAUGAAUCCAUUUGUGUCCUUUGUUUAAUAUGCACAUAGACCAAGUGAGCGACACAGGCUCUUUAGAGCCUCUAGUUCGUAAAAUCUUAGUUACUUUUACAAAAAUCUUCUCCUCUGAAACUACUGGACAAAUUAAUCCAAACUUGGCCACAAUCAUCAUUGGGGUAUCUAGUUUAAAAAAUGUGUGGCGUGACCCGUCCAACCAACCAAGAUGGCCGCCAUGGCUAAAAAAUAGAAACAUAGGGGUAAAAUGCAGUUUUUGGCUUAUAACUCAAAAACCAGAGCAUUUAGAGCAAAUCUGACAGGAGUAAAAUUGUUCAUCAGGUGAAGAUCUAUCUGCCCUGAAAUUUUCAGAUGAAUCAAACAAUCCGUUGUUGGGUUGCUGCCCCUGAAUUGAUAAUUUUAAGGAAAUUUUGCUGUUUUUGUUAUUAUCUUGAAUAUUAUAUAGAUAGAGAUAAACUGUAAACAGCAAUAAUGUUCAGCAAAGUAGAUCUACAAAUAAGUCAAACAUGACCAAAAUGGUCAGUUGACCACUUUAGGAGUUAUUGCCCUUUAUAGUCAAUUUUUAACAAUUUUUCUUAAAUCUUAGUAAUCUUUUAGAAAAAUCUUCUCCUCUGAAACUACUGGGCCAAAUUUAACCAAACUUGGCCAUAAUCAUCAUUGGCGUAUCUAGUUAAAAAAAUGUGUCCGGUGACCCGGCCAACCAACCAAGAUGGCCGCCAUGGCUAAAAAUAGAACAUAGGGGUAAAAUGCAGUUUUUGGCUUAUAACUCAAAAACCAAAGCAUUUAGAGCAAAUCUGGCAUGGGGUAAAAUUGUUUAUCAGGUCAAGAUGUAUCUGCCCUGAAAUUUUCAGAUGAAUCAAACAACCCGUUGUUGGGUUACUGCCCCUGAAAUGGUAAUUUUAAGGAAAUUUUGCUAUUUUUGGUUAUUAUCUUGAAUAUUAUUAUAGAUAGAGAUAAACUGUAAACAGCAAUGAUGUUCAGCAAAGUAAGAUCUACAAAUAAGUCAACAUGACCAAAAUGGUCAGUUGACCACUUUAGGAGUUAUUGCCCUUUAUAGUCAAUUUUAAACAUUUUUUAGCUUCACCUGGCCCGAAGGGCCAAGUGAGCUUUUCUUAUCACUUGGCGUCCGUCGUCGUCCGUCGUCCGUCGUCCGUCGUCGUCGUCGUCCGUCGUCGUUAACUUUUACAAAAAUCUUCUCCUCUGAAAACUACUGGGCCAAAUCAAACCAAACUUGGCCACAAUCAUCAUUGGGUAUCUAGUUUAAAAAAUGUGUGCGUGACCCGGUCAACCAACCAAGAUGGCCGCCACGGCUAAAAAUAGAACAUAGGGGUAAAAUGCAGUUUUUGGCUUAUAACUCAAAAACCAAAGCAUUUAGAGCAAAUCUGACAUGGGGUAAAAUGUUUAUCAGGUCAAGAUCUAUCUGCCCUGAAAUUUUCAGAUGAAUCGGUCAAUCGGUUGUUGGGUUGCUGCCCCUGAAUUGGUAAUUUUGAGGAAAUUUUGCUGUUUUUGGUUAUUAUCUUGAAUAUUAUUAUAGAUAGAGAUAAACUGUAAACAGCAAUAAUGUUCAGCAAAGUAAGAUCUACAAAUAAGUCAACAUGACCAAAAUGGUCAGUUGACCCCUUUAGGAGUUAUUGCCCUUUAUAGUCAAUUUUUAACCAUUUUUCGUUAAUUAAAGUAAUCUUUUACAAAAAUCUUCUCCUCUGAAACUACUGGGCCAAAUUAAUCCAAACUUGCCACAAUCAUCUUUGGGGUAUCUAGUUUUAAAAAAUGUGUGGCGUGACCUGGUAAACCAACCAAGAUGGCCGCCACGGCUAAAAAUAGAACAUAGGGGUAAAAUGCAGUUUUUGGCUUAUAACUCAAAAACCAAAGCAUUUUGAGAGCAAAUCUGACAUGGGAUAAAAUUGUUUAUCAGGUCAAGAUCUAUCUGCCUGAAAUUUUCAGAUGAAUCGGUCAACGGUUGUUGGGUUGCUGCCCCUGAAUUGGUAAUUUUGAAGGAAAUUUUGCUGUUUUUGGUUAUUAUCUUGAAUAUUAUUAUAGAUAGAGAUAAACUGUAAACAGCAAUAAUGUUCAGCAAAGUAAGAUCUACAAAUAAGUCAACAUGACCAAAAUGGUCAGUUGACCCGUUUAGGAGUUAUUGCCCUUUAUAGUCAAUUUUAACCAUUUUUCAUAAAUUAAAUUAAUCUUUUACAAAAAUCUUCUCCUCUGAAACUACUGGGCCAAAUUAAUCCAAACUUGGCCACAAUCAUCUUUGGGGUAUCUAGUUUAAAAAUGUGUGGCGUGACCCGAUCAACCAACCAAGAUGGCCGCCAUGCUAAAAAUAGAACAUAGGGGUAAAAUGCAGUUUUUGGCUUAUAACUCAAAAACCAAAGCAUUUUGAGGAAAUCUGACAUGGGAUAAAAUUGUUUAUCAGGUCAAGAUCUAUCUGCCCUGAAAUUUUCAGAUGAAUCGGACAAUCGGUUGUUGGGUUGCUGCCCCUGAAUUGGUAAUUUUGAGGAAAUUUUGCUGUUUUUGGUUAUUAUCUUGAAUAUUAUUAUAGAUAGAGAUAAAUUGUAAACAGCAAUAAUGUUCAGCAAAGUAAGAUCUACAAAUAAGUCAACAUGACCAAAAUGGUCAGUUGACCCCUUUAGGAGUUAUUGCCCUUUAUAGUCAAUCUUUAACCAUUUUUCAUAAAUCUAAGUAAUCUUUUACAAAAUCUCCAUUGAAACUACUAGGCCACAAUCAUCUUUGGGUAUCUAGUUUGAAAAAUGUGUCGAUGACCUGGCCAUUCAACCAAGAUGGCCGCCACGGCUAAAAAUAGAACAUAGGGGUAAAAUGCAGUUUUUGGCUUAUAACUAUGAAUUCAAAGCAUCUAGAGCAAAUCUGACAAGAAGUUAAAUUGUUAAUCAAGUCAAUAUCUAUCUGCCCUGAAUUUUUCAGAUGAAUUGGACAACUGGUUGUUGGGUUGCUGCCCUACAAUUGGUAAUUUUUAAAGAAAUUUUGCCGUUUUUGGUUAUCUUGAAUACUAUUAUAGAUAGCGAUAAACUGUAAACAGCAAUAAUGUUCAGCAAAGUAAGAUCUACAAAUAAGUCAACAUGACCUAAAUGGUCAAUUGACCCCUUAAGGAGUUAUUGCCCUUUAUAGUCAAUUUUUAACAAUUUUCAUUAAUUUGGUAAAUAUAUGUAAAUUUUUACCAAAUAUAGUUCUCUGUUACUAAUGGGCAAAGUUCAUUAUAGAUAUAAUUGUAAGAAGCAAAAUCGUUCAGUAAAGUAAGAACUUCAAACACAUCACCAUCACCAAAAUACAAUUUUGUCAUGAAUCCAUUUGUGUCCUUUGUUUAAUAUGCACAUAGACCAAGGUGAGCGACACAGGCUCUUUAGAGCCUCUAGUUCAUAAAUCUUAGUAAUCUUUUAGAAAAAUCUUCUCCUCUGAAACUACUGGGC
This 3546-nucleotide long non-coding RNA is filed under the name Mytilus galloprovincialis (Mediterranean mussel). Lineage: Eukaryota; Metazoa; Mollusca; Bivalvia; Mytilida; Mytilidae. The record is from RNAcentral.